Long non-coding RNA from Microplitis mediator, 996 nucleotides. RefSeq lists it as uncharacterized. The record is from RefSeq and is a predicted model, not a curated record. The transcript has 3 exons. Lineage: Eukaryota; Metazoa; Arthropoda; Insecta; Hymenoptera; Braconidae.
ACCCUGACUUAUUUGUGCAAAAUUUACAAUAUCAAAGUACGUGGAAAAUCGAAGACAUUGUAACAGUCAUAAGAAUUUCUUAACGACAAUUUGAAUUAUUUGAUAAACAAGUGAAAAAAAUCAACUAAAUUAUUCAAUAUGAAUUUCAAAGUCAUUUUUUUCAUCGCAUUCUCUGCAAUUCACCUUAAUAAAGGAAAUGCAAAAGAAAAUUUUGAAUUAGAUUUGGAAAAAAAUGUAUACUACGAUGAUGAGCAACGUCUUAUAUGGACGUACCUCAAUUUUAUAGCUGCAAAAAAUAAAAUAGCAGCAGAUGCAGUAGAAGAAAAAAAAAAUGAAAGGACCAUUGUCAUUAUUGGAGUUAUAAUGCGUAUGAGUAAAAAAUUUUUUAAACGUGUUGAAAUUGUCAGACCAACUAGAUGGAAUACAACGGGAUCACGAUUUGAGUCUCGAUUGCGUGAAGGAAUCUUGAAUCUGAGAAAGAGUGUCGAUGCAAUGACAGCAAUAGCGAAAACUCUGCCGAGAAAAUCUAUAGACGUUAAUAAUUAUAAAAUUCCGAAGGUGUGUGAGGAGAUCAGAGAAUCGCCCACGCCAAGAAAUGUGUAGUAAAUUUACUACAAAUGGAGUUCCGUCUACUACACUGACUAGUAGUAUAUAGGAUAACUACAAGUUUAGUAACAGUUACUAGUAUACUGUGGUACACAACUUGUAGUACCAUUUACUACAGUAAGUAGUAAUAAGAACUUACAUUAAAUAACCGCUGUGGUUCUUUUUACUCCACAACAUAGUUGAAUAUAUUUUAUUCCUAAUGUAUUAAUUAAAUAUCUCUUAGUUAACAGUCAUUAGUUUUUGUGAUAUUGAAAAAAAUAUAAAAAAAUUAAUCUUACAUUCUUUGGACUUAUAGUUUAUAAAAUUGAAAUGAUAUAAAAAUGAAUUUAUUAAUAAAUAACUUAAAAUAAUAAGGACUCAAAUUUUAAAACCCUACUUUUUAUCAAUACC